AGUGUAGGCGGUCAAGCAAGUCAGGGGUGAAAGGCGUCGGCUCAACCGAUGUAAGCCUUUGAAACUGUUUGACUUGAGUGCAGGAGAGGUAAGUGGAAUUCCUAGUGUAGCGGUGAAAUGCGUAGAUAUUAGGAGGAACACCAGUGGCGAAGGCGACUUACUGGACUGUAACUGACGCUGAGGCUCGAAAGCGUGGGGAGCGAACA
This 206-nucleotide ribosomal RNA is filed under the name uncultured bacterium. RNAcentral describes it as "partial 16S ribosomal RNA". It matches the Rfam family "Bacterial small subunit ribosomal RNA", at positions 568 to 774 of the family's 1533-position model. The record is from RNAcentral.